RNAcentral lists this long non-coding RNA (1247 nucleotides) under Capsicum annuum. Its description in RNAcentral is "long non-coding RNA (CANN_LNC020298)". The record is from RNAcentral. Lineage: Eukaryota; Viridiplantae; Streptophyta; Magnoliopsida; Solanales; Solanaceae.
GACGGUAAUUAAGAUUUUAUUUUUUUAUGUUAGUUAUUAUUAUUUCUAUUUUAUAAGUAUUUUCUUAUUGGUUAAACCGAAAAUCGAACCGUUAAAGACCAAAAAUCGAUAAACUGAAACCGAUAAAAAAUAUCUUAUUAAUUUUAUAUAUUUAAAAAUCGAUAAACCGAACCAAACCAACCGAUACACACCCUAAGCAAAACUUAAAAGCCCAUUUUCUUCUCAGUAGACUUAUCCACCGUGAGUGGCCGACCUACUAAACUUCUAAUUUCACUCAAGCCUUUGGGGCUCCAGUAUUUAAAGUUCAGCCCUGGUAAUUUAAUCCAAAUUGGCACUGUCAAUAACUUAUCUUUUGAGAACUCCAUCUCAGGUGAGACCCUGACAAUAAAUGGUUUAUUGUCGAAGUAGUAGAUUCCUCCCUGUAGUGCUUCCAUUUUGCCUUCCUUAUUGUCAAAUCUUAUUAACACAAUUCCAUUCUUCAUCAUUGCUAUCUUGUUUAAUCCAUAUUACCCCCAAAUACUUUGAAUAAAUCCAUUCAAAAUCGAAAAAGGGGGAUGAGCCCCAAGGACAUAACAAGCCAGUGCAUUUUUCCAGUAUUCCACCUCCAUUUCGAUAUCCUCCGAGUCAAUAUCACCUAUCAACUGGUUGCCCACUUGUUCUAGAUCAAUAUAUUCAAGUUUAAAUUCUGUAUUUGUUAACUUCAAGAUGUCAUAAUCCUUCCAUAUCGAUUGUACCUCUGGAGGUUUUCCCCCAAUAGUUCCACUAGAUUGAGCUUCUUCAAUAUCUACUUCAUCCGCCCAAGAGAGCUUCGUCCCAUCUGUGUUGAUACAAGUCGACCAUUCUUGUACCCGCACCUUUGCCGAUGUUGGUUCAGAUACCUUCACCGGAGUUCGUGCCCCUGUCUCUACUUGUCCUUUUAACCCUGCUACUGUUUUAUUGCCUUUUGCAUAAAAUCCACUAUUUGAUAGUCCAACUCCACUAUUUGAUAGUCCACUUCCACCUGUAGCCAGCUUCUAUCCCUGUAUUGGAGCCUUCAUCGUCGAUUUUCUAGCUAGGGUCGUGUUCGUCAGCCUCCUGCCCAUGGCUGGGGCACGUUAGCUAGCUGCACCUGGAGAGCGUUUUUGGAGACGUACCUUUUUAAAAAAAAAAAAAAUAUAUCUUUUGAUAAAAGCAAUAGGUGAUUUUCUCUUACUAUUUCAAUUUAUGUAUAUAUAUAUAUAUAUAUAUGUAUAGAUGUUAUCUCUGUC